AGGGACAGGCAGAGACAGAUAGGGACAGAUAGGGUCCUACAGGGACUUGAACGAGGAAGAUCUGCUGGAAAAGAAAAGAACUACAACCAACCAGAUGAACAAGAAACCCUGUUACAAGUCUGCUGGCAGCAACAUAAGGAAAUGAACAAAAAGUGUGGGUGCCCCCAAGGUGUGUACUACCAUGGAAUGGGAGAUUGGAGGGACACAUGGAUCCCAACCGUGGGCCUGGUUCCCCCAGUAUGAGCUGAAUACGAAGACAGAACAAACCACCAACCGGCAAUUGAAGUGACACAAAGUGAACCGGGUUCUAUAAAUUACCAUGGAAAGUGGUGAGCCAACGAUUUGGCAGAACAAAACCCUGAGGAUAUGCAAACAAAAGGGACUAUGGAAUUUGCAAUUGCAGAUUAAAAUUGAAGAAGAAAACAUUUGAGUUGCAAAUACCGUAUUAAAAGUGGACACUGCUUAUGACUGCUGUAUGCAACAGUUUUUCAGGCCCGAGGUGAUAAAUAAAAAAUUGUUUGCUCUAUUUAA
This 531-nucleotide long non-coding RNA is filed under the name Homo sapiens (human). RNAcentral describes it as "long intergenic non-protein coding RNA 2303". Lineage: Eukaryota; Metazoa; Chordata; Mammalia; Primates; Hominidae. The record is from RNAcentral.